This 249-nucleotide ribosomal RNA is filed under the name uncultured bacterium. RNAcentral's name for it is "partial 16S ribosomal RNA". It matches the Rfam family "Bacterial small subunit ribosomal RNA", at positions 527 to 779 of the family's 1533-position model. The record is from RNAcentral.
CGGAGGUGCAAGCGUUAAUCGGAAUUACUGGGCGUAAAGCGCACGCAGGCGGUUUGUUAAGUCAGAUGUGAAAUCCCGGGCUCAACCUGGGAACUGCAUUUGAAACUGGCAAGCUAGAGUCUCGUAGAGGGGUAGAAUUCCAGGUGUAGCGGUGAAAUGCGUAGAGAUCUGGAGGAAUACCGGUGGCGAAGGCGGCCCCUGGACGAAGACUGACGCUCAGGUGCGAAAGCGUGGGGAGCAAACAGGAUU